RNAcentral lists this unclassified non-coding RNA (260 nucleotides) under Hevea brasiliensis (rubber tree). Lineage: Eukaryota; Viridiplantae; Streptophyta; Magnoliopsida; Malpighiales; Euphorbiaceae. The record is from RNAcentral.
AUCGAAUUCUGGUCACCAUCCUCGUCAUGAAUCUAUCCUUCACUCCUUUUAUGGAUCCAUACACCAAAUCAUUCGCUGCUUCCCAACCCAAUAUCCGCCUCAUUGACCUCCCUCAAGUGGAUCUUCCUUCUUCUGAAGUUCUUGCUAUAUCUAUAGAAAGUUUUGUCUGUGCCAUUAUUGAGUCACAAACCCCAUGUCCAAGACAUUGUCUCUGAUAUUGUAUCUUCCCGAUCUAGCUGAGAUUCGGCUCCAGUUGCUGG